AUUGAACGCUGGCGGCAGGCCUAACACAUGCAAGUCGAACGGUAACACGAAGCGACUUUCUUCUUUCCUGUCGCGUGGCGCGGGUGUGUGAAAUGUAUGUGAGACUCCCCUAUGUCGGGGGAUAACUCGUGGAAACGGUAGCUAUAACCGCAUAACUUCCCAACAGCAAAGAGCGGGAGAUUAUGGCCUCUUGCCAUCUGCUAUGCCCAGGUGGGAUUAGCUAGUAGGUGGGGUAACGGCUCACCAAGGCGACGAUCCCUAGCUGGUCUGAGAGGAUGAUCAGCCACACUGGAACUGAGACACGGUCCAGACUCCUACGGGAGGCAGCAGUGGGGAAUAUUGCACAAUGGGCGCAAGCCUGAUGCAGCCAUGCCGCGUGUGUGAAGAAGGCCUUCGGGUUGUAAAGCACUUUUAGUGGGGAAGAAGAGAGGAAAGUUAAUACCUGUGCGUAUUGACGUUACCCAAAGAAGAAGCACCGGCUAACUACGUG
This 490-nucleotide ribosomal RNA is filed under the name uncultured bacterium. RNAcentral describes it as "partial 16S ribosomal RNA". It matches the Rfam family "Bacterial small subunit ribosomal RNA", at positions 30 to 507 of the family's 1533-position model. The record is from RNAcentral.